RNAcentral lists this ribosomal RNA (443 nucleotides) under uncultured bacterium. RNAcentral describes it as "partial 16S ribosomal RNA". It matches the Rfam family "Bacterial small subunit ribosomal RNA", at positions 338 to 795 of the family's 1533-position model. The record is from RNAcentral.
CCUACGGGUGGUAGCAGUGGGGAAUAUUGGGCAAUGGGCGCGAGCCUGACCCAGCAAAGCCGCGUGAAGGAAGAAGGCUUUCGGGUUGUAAACUUCUUUUCUCAAGGACGAAGCCAGUGACGGUCCCUGCGGAAUAAGCCACGGCUAACUACGUGCCAGCAGCCGCGGUAAUCCGUAGGUGGCGAGCGUUAUCCGGAUUUACUGGGUGUAAAGGUCGAGUGGGCGGGACUGUAAGUCAGAUGUGAAAACCACGGGCUCAACAUGAGGCCUGCAUUUGAAACUGUCGUUCUUGAGUACUGGAGAGGCAGAAGGAAUUCCUAGUGUAGCGGUGAAAUGCGUAGAUAUUAGGAGGAACACCAGUGGCGAAGGCGGUCUGCUGGACAGCAACUGACGCUGAGGCGCGAAAGCGUGGGGAGCAAACAGGAUUAGAUACCCCAGUAGUC